CCCUCCGAAGUUUCCCUCAGGAUAGCUGGNGCAUUUAAAAAUUAUGUAAAAUAAUCUUAUCUGGNAAAGCGAAUGAUUAGAGGCCUUANGGUCGAAACGACCUUAACCUAUUCUCAAACUUUAAAUGGGUAAGAACCUCACCUUUCUUGAUAUGAAGGUUGAGGUUAUGAUAUAAUGUGCCCAGUGGGCCACUUUUGGUAAGCAGAACUGGCGCUGUGGGAUGAACCAAACGUAAUGUUACGGUGCCUAAAUUAACAACUCAUGCAGAUACCAUGAAAGGCGUUUGUUGCUUAAAACAGCAGGACGGUGGACAUGGAAGUCGUAAUCCGCUAAGGAGUGUGUAACAACUCACCUGCCGAAGCAACUAGCCCUUAAAAUGGAUGGCGCUUAAGUUGUAUACCUAUACAUUACCGCUAAAGUACAUGAUUUAUAAUACAAUUUCGGUUGUUUUAUAAAUUUUGAAACUUUAGUGAGUAGGAGGGUACAAUGGUGUGCUUANAAGUGUUUGGCGUAAGCCUGCAUGGAGCCGCCAUUGGUACAGAUCUUGGUGGUAGUAGCAAAUAAUCGAAUGAGACCUUGGAGGACUGAAGUG
This 592-nucleotide ribosomal RNA is filed under the name Rhagoletis alternata. Its description in RNAcentral is "partial 28S ribosomal RNA". It matches the Rfam family "Eukaryotic large subunit ribosomal RNA", at positions 957 to 1498 of the family's 3401-position model. The record is from RNAcentral. Lineage: Eukaryota; Metazoa; Arthropoda; Insecta; Diptera; Tephritidae.